This 408-nucleotide ribosomal RNA is filed under the name uncultured bacterium. RNAcentral describes it as "partial 16S ribosomal RNA". It matches the Rfam family "Bacterial small subunit ribosomal RNA", at positions 28 to 526 of the family's 1533-position model. The record is from RNAcentral.
GACGAACGCUGGCGGCGUGCUUAACACAUGCAAGUCGAACGAAGUGGCGAACGGGUGAGUAAUACGUGAGUAACCUGCCCUCCUUUUUGGGAUAAGCCUUGGAAACGGGUUCUAAUACCGAAUACAGGGGGAUGGGCGCGCGGCCUAUCCGCUUGUUGGUGGGGUGAUGGCCUACCAAGGCGGUGACGGGGAGCCGGCCUGAGAGGGUGACAGGCGACAUGGGGAAUGGGAUACGGCCCAAAAUGCUGCGGGAGGCAGCAGUGGGGGAUAUUGGACAAUGGGCGAAAGCCUGAUGCAGCGACGCAGGGUGGGGGAUGUAGGCUUUCGGGUUGUAAACCUCUUUCGCGAUGGAACGGGUAGGUGGAGAAGAAGCUCCGGCUAACUACGUGCCAGCAGCCGCGGUAAUAC